RNAcentral lists this long non-coding RNA (1140 nucleotides) under Salmo salar (Atlantic salmon). RNAcentral's name for it is "lncRNA (ENSSSAG00000110263.1)". Lineage: Eukaryota; Metazoa; Chordata; Actinopteri; Salmoniformes; Salmonidae. The record is from RNAcentral.
UAUAACAAUGGAUUAUUUGGUACCAAACCAACAUUUCUUAUUGAAGUAGAAGUCCUGGGAGUGCAUUCUGACGAAGAACAGCAAAGGACCUGAGCCCUAGGACCAUGCCUCAGGACUACCUGGCCUGAUGACUCCUUGCUCUACCCAGUCCACCUGGCCGUGCUGCUGCUCCAGUUUCAACUGUUCUGCCUGCGGCUAUGGAACCCUGACCUGUUCACCGGACGUGAUGCCUGUACCAGACCUGCUGUUUUCAACUCUCUAGAGACAGCAGGAGCGGUAGAGAUACUCUGAAUGAUCGGCUAUGAAAAGCCAACUGACAUUUACUCCUGAGGUGCUGAUCUGUUGCACCCUCGACAACCACUGUGAUUAUUAUUAUUUGACCCUGCUGGUCAUCUAUGAACAUUUGAACAUCUUGGCCAUGUUCUGUUAUAAUCUCCACCCGGCACAGCCAGAAGAGGACUGGCCACCCCUCAUAGCCUGGUUCCUCUCUAGGUUUCUUCCUAGGUUCUGGCCUUUCUACUGAGUGUUUCCUAGCCACCGUGAUUCUUUCUGUACAGCACUUUGAGAUAUCAGCUGAUGUAAGAAGGGCUUUAUCAAUACAUUUGAUUUGAUCUGAUACUGUCUGGUCAUAAAGAGUAUGACAUUAUUGAUGCCCGUAGCAUGGACUGCAAGGGAAGCCAAUGAGCAUUGGGCCUCGAUAGAUAGAAAAGUAAAUAAUAAUAGCCAAUCAGCGUUGAGCUCAACUGUGAAUGGUCGUGGCACACACCACAUUUUUUUCAAGGGAAUCCAGUUUGGAUUUGGCUUCUCUUCUAUCACAUCGCAUCAAGAGAAAUAUGUCAAUGACAUAAACAACAUGAAUUGUUGCAUCUCAUUGUGUUGUUGUCCUCCGGUGGCUAGCUUCAUUUACAUUUUACAUUUUUUUGUCAUUUAGCAGACGCUCUUAUCCAGAGCGACUUACAGUAGUGAAUGCAUACAUACAUUUCAUGCAUUUUCUUUUUUAAUUGAAUUUGUUUUAUUUUACAUUUUUCUCCGUACUGGCCCCCCGUGGGAAUUGAACCCACAACCCUGGUGUUGCAAACACCAUGCUCUACCAAAUGAGCCACAGGGAAGGCCACCUAGCUAGUUAAAAUUGUCCCUUUA